AUAAGAAAACGGCGUUAAAGCAACAGCGCUAUCAUGAGGAUUGAGUUUUUCAUUAUUUUUUGGCGCUUAAACACCAAAGUGUAUGUGCCUAUGUGUCAUCGCAGAUAUAUUCGGAUUUCUAUCAGAACUGUAGACUUUGUAAACUUGUAAUAAAAUUAUAUAUAGAAAAUUAUAUGUAUGGAAAAGAUCGCGUAUAAAUACAAGCAUUUAGACAGUGUUGUUAGAGGAUUCAUUACGGGCCAUUAAUUUAAAGAAGAAAAAGAAGACAGUUAUGGAUCCAAAGAUUCUUUAUCAAUAUCAAGUACAAUUAGCAGUACUCAAAUAUAAACG
Molecule: long non-coding RNA, 330 nt
Organism: Odontomachus brunneus
Lineage: Eukaryota; Metazoa; Arthropoda; Insecta; Hymenoptera; Formicidae
Exons: 3
Source: RefSeq, a predicted model, not a curated record